This 447-nucleotide ribosomal RNA is filed under the name uncultured bacterium. RNAcentral describes it as "partial 16S ribosomal RNA". It matches the Rfam family "Bacterial small subunit ribosomal RNA", at positions 29 to 523 of the family's 1533-position model. The record is from RNAcentral.
AACGAACGCUGGCGGCAGGCUUAACACAUGCAAGUCGAGCGCCCCGCAAGGGGAGCGGCAGACGGGUGAGUAACACGUGGGAACCUUCCUAGAGGUACGGAACAACUCAGGGAAACUUGAGCUAAUACCGUAUACGCUCUUGCGAGGAAAGAUUUAUCGCCUUUAGACGGGCCCGCGUCGGAUUAGCUAGUUGGUGGGGUAACAGCCUACCAAGGCGACGAUCCGUAGCUGAUCUGAGAGGAUGAUCAGCCACACUGGGACUGAGACACGGCCCAGACUCCUACGGGAGGCAGCAGUGGGGAAUCUUGGACAAUGGGCGCAAGCCUGAUCCAGCCAUGCCGCGUGAGUGAAGAAGGCCUUCGGGUUGUAAAGCUCUUUUGCCAGGGACGAUAAUGACGGUACCUGGAGAAUAAGCCCCGGCAAACUUCGUGCCAGCCGCCGCAGUAA